RNAcentral lists this ribosomal RNA (1083 nucleotides) under Phocaeicola vulgatus. Its description in RNAcentral is "bacterial SSU rRNA". It matches the Rfam family "Bacterial small subunit ribosomal RNA", at positions 434 to 1533 of the family's 1533-position model. The record is from RNAcentral. Lineage: Bacteria; Pseudomonadati; Bacteroidota; Bacteroidia; Bacteroidales; Bacteroidaceae.
UAUAAAGGAAUAAAGUCGGGUAUGUAUACCCGUUUGCAUGUACUUUAUGAAUAAGGAUCGGCUAACUCCGUGCCAGCAGCCGCGGUAAUACGGAGGAUCCGAGCGUUAUCCGGAUUUAUUGGGUUUAAAGGGAGCGUAGAUGGAUGUUUAAGUCAGUUGUGAAAGUUUGCGGCUCAACCGUAAAAUUGCAGUUGAUACUGGAUAUCUUGAGUGCAGUUGAGGCAGGCGGAAUUCGUGGUGUAGCGGUGAAAUGCUUAGAUAUCACGAAGAACUCCGAUUGCGAAGGCAGCCUGCUAAGCUGCAACUGACAUUGAGGCUCGAAAGUGUGGGUAUCAAACAGGAUUAGAUACCCUGGUAGUCCACACGGUAAACGAUGAAUACUCGCUGUUUGCGAUAUACUGCAAGCGGCCAAGCGAAAGCGUUAAGUAUUCCACCUGGGGAGUACGCCGGCAACGGUGAAACUCAAAGGAAUUGACGGGGGCCCGCACAAGCGGAGGAACAUGUGGUUUAAUUCGAUGAUACGCGAGGAACCUUACCCGGGCUUAAAUUGCAGAUGAAUUACGGUGAAAGCCGUAAGCCGCAAGGCAUCUGUGAAGGUGCUGCAUGGUUGUCGUCAGCUCGUGCCGUGAGGUGUCGGCUUAAGUGCCAUAACGAGCGCAACCCUUGUUGUCAGUUACUAACAGGUUCCGCUGAGGACUCUGACAAGACUGCCAUCGUAAGAUGUGAGGAAGGUGGGGAUGACGUCAAAUCAGCACGGCCCUUACGUCCGGGGCUACACACGUGUUACAAUGGGGGGUACAGAGGGCCGCUACCACGCGAGUGGAUGCCAAUCCCCAAAACCUCUCUCAGUUCGGACUGGAGUCUGCAACCCGACUCCACGAAGCUGGAUUCGCUAGUAAUCGCGCAUCAGCCACGGCGCGGUGAAUACGUUCCCGGGCCUUGUACACACCGCCCGUCAAGCCAUGGGAGCCGGGGGUACCUGAAGUGCGUAACCGCGAGGAGCGCCCUAGGGUAAAACUGGUGACUGGGGCUAAGUCGUAACAAGGUAGCCGUACCGGAAGGUGCGGCUGGAACACCUCCUUU